GAUGAACGCUGGCGGCGUGCCUAAUACAUGCAAGUCGAGCGAACAGACGAUGAUCUUGCUGCUCUGACGUUAGCGGCGGACGGGUAAGUAACAGGUGGAUAACCUACCUAUAAGACUGGGAUAACGUCGGGAAACCGGAGCUAAGACCGGAUAAUAUAUUUAACGGCAUGGUUGAAAAGUGAAAGACGGGUUUGCUGUCACUGAGAGAUGUAUCCGCGCCGCAGUAGCUAGUUGGUAAGGUAACGGCUUACCAAGGCAACGAUGCGUAGCCGACCUGAGAGGGUGAACGGCCCCAGUGGAACUGAGACACGGUCCAGACUCCUAGGGGAGGCAGCAGUAGGGAAUCUUGCCCGAAGGGCGGAAUCCUGACGGAGCAACGCAGCGUGAGUGAUGAAGGUCUUCGGAUCGUAAGACUCUGUUAUUAGGGAAGAACAAAUGUGUAAGUAACUAUGCACGUCUUGACGGUACCUAAUCAGAAAGCCACGGCUAACUACGUG
RNAcentral lists this ribosomal RNA (497 nucleotides) under uncultured bacterium. RNAcentral's name for it is "partial 16S ribosomal RNA". It matches the Rfam family "Bacterial small subunit ribosomal RNA", at positions 28 to 507 of the family's 1533-position model. The record is from RNAcentral.